GUCUUCGUGGCUCAGUUGGUUAGAGCGUUGGUCUCAGUACGACUCUCCGUUUCCACUUCGCAUCCCAGAAUUCGGCCCGCUAACCCCUCUCCAGUAUGUGCAUACAUGUGAUCAGAUAUUUACAUCUGGGCAAUCCAAAGGUCGUGAGUUCGAGUCUCACCGAGGACA
Purpureocillium lilacinum is the source of this 168-nucleotide non-coding RNA. The record is from Rfam. NCBI's taxonomy places the organism in Eukaryota, Fungi, Ascomycota, Sordariomycetes, Hypocreales, Ophiocordycipitaceae.